This is a long non-coding RNA of Haliotis rubra (blacklip abalone), 1207 nucleotides long. RefSeq lists it as uncharacterized. The transcript is spliced from 2 exons. NCBI's taxonomy places the organism in Eukaryota, Metazoa, Mollusca, Gastropoda, Lepetellida, Haliotidae. The record is from RefSeq and is a predicted model, not a curated record.
UAUCUGAAUGACAUAGGUAUAUAUACUCAAGAUGAAAUUGAGACAGAUGGAAAAAGAUUAGAAAAUGGCCAUGCCUGAAGAAAGAAAAGAUGUUUCCACCUCAGCAACAGCAAUUGGAGUGAGGUGGAAGACAGUGUGCAAACACUCUGGUGAAGGAAUCGGACACGGCGAUCUUUGUCACCUGUUCUUUUCAGAGCAUCUAGCACCAAUCUCUCCUGGAGGCCAUUAUCCAGAUCAGGAUAGGAUUCAUUGAUAGGUUGCCAAACAUCAUCUCAUCAACUCUAUUUAUAUUGACUCCUGUGGCUUGCGAUUUCGGUUGAGUAAUUUUUCCUGCUUAACAUCAGAGUAAAUUUUUACUGUCCCAUCUCUGAAGAGUAUCUGCAAACCAUUAGUAAUGACUGCUUAGCCACAUUCCUGAAUUGAGAUCCACCCACGCCACAGGAGUAGCUCUAGAAUCAGUUUGACAUCCAUGGCAUUGAUUCGCUAAGCUCAAGACUGUAUUUGAGAGCUGUGCCAUGAUGUUAACCUUGUUUGUCUCAUUUUAACUGGCAAUUUGUUGAGAACAAUGGUUAUUCCUUCCAAGAGGUGUAUAUGACACAUUGUCAUACAAAGAUGGUGAGCAGUAAUUUUGCCUGUUCGAGUCCAGUGACUACGAAUCACACAGAAAAUAUUGCUGCAGGCCAUGUAAGUCGUCUUCGCUGAAGGAUCUACAUGGAUCAACAGCUCUGGUGCUAUUUUCUAUUGUGGCACCAUCUUCCAAUGGCCUGCGACUUUCACUCGCCAUCUGUUGGAUAAUACUUUGAUCAUCAAUAUUCCUUUUUGUUGGCUAUAAAAAAUCCCUAAUUUCUGAUCCCUGUUACACUCAAGACUCAGCAGCCAGGGAACCGCUCAGUCAGAGGAUAUGCAGCAAUCUCAUGGGAUACAGGUGUAAAUUUUUAAGAAACAAGACAAACCAUUCACUCACCAUUCACACAAACACAAAUAUAAUUAAUUCAGUCGUCGUCUUUGAAUAAUCCAUGUUACAAGAGCCAUUUAGAAUAAAAUUCAGCAUUACAGCUUUUGUUGAAGAAAAAAAACAUUUUCAAUACUAUAUUUCAAUCUCAACUCACUUCUGAACAGAGCAAUAGUUGGUAAAACAGAAUUGAGCUUGCAUUUGUAGAAGUAAUAUUUUCCCAAUAAUAUGAACAAGUCAAAAACAGAGUCAGUA